RNAcentral lists this long non-coding RNA (697 nucleotides) under Homo sapiens (human). Its description in RNAcentral is "long independently transcribed non-coding RNA 2901, transcript variant 5 (LINC02901)". The record is from RNAcentral. Lineage: Eukaryota; Metazoa; Chordata; Mammalia; Primates; Hominidae.
GCAGAGCCUCGCGCUGGGGUGGGGUUGCGCGCGCAGGUGAGGGGGGCGGGGCCGGCGCGACCGGCGGGGCGGGGCGGACACUCCCACCGCGCACCUGCUUCUGCCUGACGUGUACCCGGAAGGUCGUCAGCUCAGGCUCCAAAUAUGUAACAGUGAGUUUCUAAAACAGGUGGAGAGGUAUGAAGAACGAGGAACACUGCCCGGGGAGUUUCUUCCUCUGCAAAAUAAGGGAGUGUGUACUGAAUUACCGUUUCCAGCUCCAACAUCCAGGAUUUCAGCACUACCUGCAGAGUAGUGGGAGGAGAGAUAGAGGAAGAAGUGAAGAUAAGAAACCACUCGAAGCCGGUGUCUGGUGCUGGGACCGUGGUGGCUGGGACGGCAGCAGUCGUGCUGUCCAUCUGCUCUUCCGAGGGGUGGCACAUCCUAGCCUCUAUCUUUUCCCCAGAGAAGAUCCCCCUCGUCUGCUCUUCCCCCGUCUCAGCCUUUUAGUGUGUGAACAGUUCUGGUGUUACUCAGCAACGCUUUUGUUAGCGCCUUUACCAGCAAGUACUUGUUAAACACUUAAAUCUUACAAGUGGAAAGAAAAUUCCGUGGUAAAUUUAAGUACAAAAGUCAACCAAAAUUCUGAGUCUCGGACAAGACUGGUUAAAAAUCGUUCUACAAUGAAACUAAUAAAUUAAAUCAUAUAAAACUUUUA